RNAcentral lists this ribosomal RNA (253 nucleotides) under uncultured Acidobacteriota bacterium. RNAcentral's name for it is "uncultured Acidobacteria bacterium partial 16S ribosomal RNA". It matches the Rfam family "Bacterial small subunit ribosomal RNA", at positions 524 to 776 of the family's 1533-position model. The record is from RNAcentral. Lineage: Bacteria; Pseudomonadati; Acidobacteriota.
UACAGAGGUGGCAAGCGUUGUUCGGAAUUACUGGGCGUAAAGGGCGCGUAGGCGGUCUUGUAAGUCUUGUGUGAAAUCCCUCGGCUCAACUGAGGAACCGCACGGGAAACUGCUUGACUUGAGUUCGGGAGAGGGACGCGGAAUUCCGGGUGUAGCGGUGAAAUGCGUAGAUAUCCGGAGGAACACCGGUGGCGAAGGCGGCGUCCUAGACCGACACUGACGCUGAGGCGCGAAAGCUAGGGGAGCAAACGGG